UAGGGAAUCUUCCACAAUGGACGCAAGUCUGAUGGAGCAACGCCGCGUGAGUGAAGAAAGUUUUCGGAUCGUAAAGCUCUGUUGUAAGAGAAGAACGUGUGUGAGAGUGGAAAGUUCACACAGUGACGGUAACUUACCAGAAAGGGACGGCUAACUACGUGCCAG
This 165-nucleotide ribosomal RNA is filed under the name uncultured bacterium. RNAcentral's name for it is "partial 16S rRNA". It matches the Rfam family "Bacterial small subunit ribosomal RNA", at positions 355 to 511 of the family's 1533-position model. The record is from RNAcentral.